RNAcentral lists this ribosomal RNA (465 nucleotides) under uncultured bacterium. RNAcentral describes it as "bacterial SSU rRNA". It matches the Rfam family "Bacterial small subunit ribosomal RNA", at positions 28 to 507 of the family's 1533-position model. The record is from RNAcentral.
GACGAACGCUGGCGGCGUGCCUAACACAUGCAAGUCGAACGGAGAUAUGAUUUCGGUUGUAUCUUAGUGGCGAACGGGUGAGUAACGCGUGAGCAACCUGACUCUUAGAGGGGGAUAACACUCGGAAACGGGUGCUAAUACCGCAUAAGACCACGACAUGGCAUCAUGACGAGGUCAAAGGAGCAAUCCGCUGAGAGAGGGGCUCGCGUCCCAUUAGAUAGAUGGCGGGGUAACGGCCCACCAUGUCAGCGAUGGGUAGCCGAGCUGAGAGGCUGAUCGGCCACACUGGAACUGAGACACGGUCCAGACUCCUACGGGAGGCAGCAGUGGGGAAUAUUGGGCAAUGGGCGCAAGCCUGACCCAGCAACGCCGCGUGAGGGAAGAAGGCUUUCGGGUUGUAAACCUCUGUCCUUGGUGACGAAAAAAAUGACGGUAGCCAAGGAGGAAGCCCCGGCUAACUACGUG